UCAAAUGAACUAAGGCAUAUGGUGGAGACCUAGGCACUCAGAGACGAUGAAGGGCGCAGAUACCGGCGAAACGCUUCGAGGAGCUGGCAACAAGCUUUGAUCCGAAGAUCCCCGAAUAGGGCAACCUGUAAAACUUCCAGCAGAAUUCAUAUGUUGGAAAGAGGCAACCCAGUGAAUUGAAACAUCUUAGUAGCUGGAGGAAAAGAAAGCAAACGCGAUUCCCGUAGUAGCGGCGAGCGAACCGGGGUUAGCCUAAACGAUUAUUCAGUAAUCGGGUAGUGGGAAGACAAGUUCUAUUUUAUUUUAGAAAUAAAAUAGAAACUCAUAAACAAUUCAAAAAAACGAAACAGCUGAAUCCUGUACCAUAGAUGGUGAAAGUCCAGUAGUUGUCAAAUGAAAGAAAAAUGUCUUAUCCCGAGUAGCAUGGGACACGUGGAAUCCCGUGUGAAUCAGCGAGGACCACCUCGUAAGGCUAUAAUACUCCUGAGUGACCGAUAGUGAAAGAGUACCGCGAGGGAAAGGUGAAAAGUACCCCCGUAGGGGAGUGAAAUAGAACAUGAAACCGUAUGCUGACAAGCAGUGGGAGGGGUUAUGGCCCUGACCGCGUGCCUGUUGAAGAAUGAGCCGGCGACUUAGAGGGAGUGGCUUAAGGUUAAGGAGUUGUAUCCGGAGCCAACGCGAAAGCGAGUCUGAAUAGGGCGUUUAAGUCAUUUCCUCUGGACCCGAACCCGGGUGAUCUAAUCAUGACCAGGAUGAAGCUUGGGUAACACUAAGUGGAGGUCCGAACCGACCGAUGUUGAAAAAUCGGCGGAUGAGUUGUGAUUAGGGGAGAAAUUCCAAUCGAACUCGGAGCUAGCUGGAUCUCCCCGAAAUGCGUUGAGGCGCAGCGGCAACGAUGAGCUAUCAUGGGGUAAAGCUACUGUUUCGAUGCGGGCUGCGAAAGCGGUACCAAGUCGUGGCAAACUCAGAAUACAUGAUACUGUUUACCGUAAGCCAGUGAGACUGUCGGUGAUAAGAUCGAUAGUCAAGAGGGAAACAGCCCAGAUCACCAGCUAAGGCCCCUAAAUGGUUACUAAGUGGAAAAGGAUGUGAGAAUGCUGAAACAACCAGGAGGUUUGCUUAGAAGCAGCCACCCUUGAAAGAGUGCGUAAUAGCUCACUGGUAAAGCGUUCUUGCGCCGACAAUGGCCGGGACUAAGUAACCUGCCGAAGCUGUGAGAUUUCUUUUUUUAAGAGAUCGGUAGGGGAGCGUUCCGUUCUUGGGUGAAGUUUUAGUGUAAACUAGGAUGGACAAAACGGAAGUGAGAAUGUCGGCUUGAGUAACGAAAACAUUGGUAAGAAUCCAAUGCCCCGAAAACCGUUGGGUUCCUCCACUAGGCUCGUCCAUGGGGGGUUAGUCAGGUCCUAAGGCUAGGCCGAAAGGCGUCGUCGAUGGCAAACAGGUUAAUAUUCCUGUACUGAUUUUAUUGGGAACAAGUGACGAAGGAGGCUAAACUAGGACUGCUUCUGGAUUUCAGUGGAAGCGUUUAGGCGUUGAGAGUUAGAAAAAAAGCUAUACUCGAGCUAAGACGUGAUCCGUAAACUCGUGCAAACGAGUUUAUCUAGUGAUGUCAAACUUCCAAGAAAAGCUUGAGCUCCUUAACAAUAAAAUCACCUGUACCUAAAACCGACACAGGUAGGUUGGUAGAGAAUACCAAGGGGCGCGAGAGAACUCUCUCUAAGGAACUCGGCAAACUGGCCCCGUAACUUCGGAAGAAGGGGCGCCCUUUAACAAAGGGUCGCAGUGACCAGGCCCAGGCGACUGUUUAUCAAAAACACAGGUCUCCGCAAAGUCGUAAGACAAUAUAUGGGGGCUGACGCCUGCCCAGUGCCGGAAGGUUAAGGAAGUUGGUUAUUAGUUUCCUAAGAAGCUGACGACCGAAGCCCCGGUGAACGGCGGCCGUAACUAUAACGGUCCUAAGGUAGCGAAAUUCAUUGUCGAGUAAGUUUCGACCUGCACGAAAGGCGUAACGAUCUGGGCGCUGUCUCGGAGAGAGGCUCGGUGAAAUAGACUUGUCCCGUGAAGAUGCGGACUACUUGCACCUGGACAGAAAGACCCUAUGAAGCUUGACUGUAUCCUGGAAUUGGGUUCGGGCUUUUCUUGCGCAGCCUAGGUGGGAGGCUAUGAAGGUUCUCUUCCGGGAGAACAUGAGCCGUCAUUGAGAGACCACUCUGGAAGAGCUAGAAUCCUAAUGGUGAUCUUUGAAUCAAGACACUUGACAUUUUCAGGUGGGCAGUUUAUCUGGGGCGGAUGCCUCCUAAAGUGUAACGGAGGUGUGCAACGGUUCCCUCAGCCUGGACGGAAAUCAGGCCUUGAGUGUAAAGGCAAAAGGGAGCUUGACUGCAAGACCUACAAGUCGAGCAGGGGCGAAAGCCGGCCUUAGUGAUCCGACGGUGCCGCGUGGAAGGGCCGUCGCUCAACGGAUAAAAGUUACUCUAGGGAUAACAGGCUGAUCUUCCCCAAGAGUUCACAUCGACGGGAAGGUUUGGCACCUCGAUGUCGGCUCAUCGCAUCCUGGAGCGGUAGUACGUUCCAAGGGUUGGGCUGUUCGCCCAUUAAAGCGGUACGUGAGCUGGGUUCAGAACGUCGUGAGACAGUUCGGUCCAUAUCCGGUGUAAGCGCUGGAACUUUGAGAGGAGUAUUUCAUAGUACGAGAGGACCUGAAAUAACAUGCCAAUGGUAUACCAGUUAUCCUUCCAAGGGUAAACGCUGGGUAGCUAUGCAUGGAGUAAAUAAGAGCUGACAGCAUCUAAGUUCGAAGUUCACCUCAAGAUGAGAGUUCCCCAUUAGGUCGCAGAUAGACAAUCUGUUCGAUAGGACUCAGGUGUAAGGCUAGUAAUAGUUUCAGCCGAGAGUUACUAAAGACCAAUUGAUUUUGAUCU
RNAcentral lists this ribosomal RNA (2921 nucleotides) under Chlamydomonas applanata. RNAcentral describes it as "bacterial LSU rRNA". It matches the Rfam family "Bacterial large subunit ribosomal RNA". Lineage: Eukaryota; Viridiplantae; Chlorophyta; Chlorophyceae; Chlamydomonadales; Chlamydomonadaceae. The record is from RNAcentral.